This is an RNA transcript of Glycine soja, 1137 nucleotides long. It is a transcript of the gene named signal peptidase complex catalytic subunit SEC11C-like, with no coding region annotated. NCBI's taxonomy places the organism in Eukaryota, Viridiplantae, Streptophyta, Magnoliopsida, Fabales, Fabaceae. The transcript has 8 exons. The record is from RefSeq and is a predicted model, not a curated record.
AUAAUAAAAUCUCUUUGGGUGGAAGAAAAGGAACCGCUUUGUUGAGAGAAGAAGAAGAAGAAAGGAAAGCAAUGGGUUGGAUCGGCGAGAGUGUGGAUUCCAUUAAAUCUCUUCAGAUCCGUCAGGUCCUCACCCAGGCGGUUAGCCUCGGCAUGAUUGUUACGUCUGCACUGAUCAUAUGGAAGGCAUUGAUGUGCAUUACUGGCAGUGAAUCUCCUGUUGUUGUUGUUCUUUCUGAAAGCAUGGAACCCGGCUUCAAGCGGGGAGACAUCUUAUUCUUGCAUAUGAAUCGAGAUCCCAUUCGGGCAGGGGAGAUUGUUGUCUUUAAUGUCGAUGGACGUGAGAUUCCAAUUGUUCAUCGUGUAAUUAUGGUACAUGACAGGAAAGAUACUGGGGAGGUUGAUGUUCUCACGAAAGGAGACAAGAAUGAUGUGGAUGACAGGCUACUGUAUGUUCACGGUCAGCUUUGGCUGCAAAGGCACCACGUUAUGGGUAGAGCUGUCGGGUUCUUACCUUACGUAGGCUGGGUGACCAUCAUUAUGACUGAAAAGCCUAUUAUCAAGUAUAUUCUCAUUAGUGCUUUGGGGCUGCUCGUGAUAACUUCAAAAGAUUAAAUGAUGAAAUCUAAAAUCAAACUGUGAUCUAACCUUCGAUGGUAGUGUGAGCAGAUGUCAUGCUUUUGUUGAAGCUUUCACCCCUUUGAGUGUGAUCACUGAUUGAUAUUCUUGGGAUACUGGGCCUGAUCUUCGAAAGUACUUAAGAGUUAACCCAAAUUCGAACUUGUAAAUCAUUUAUUAAGAGAGCCACUUGGUAAUGAAUCAUGAACGUAGUUGGAGGUUGCAUUCACCGCCGUGGAGACCAAAAUGGCACGCUAGCAAGUUGUUAGAUCUUCAUAGUUCCACGAAUCAUCCUAUCCAAAUGUAUACAAAAAGUAGAUGAAAAGAAUCACCAAUCAAUAUAUUUUUCUUAUAUGAAUUAUCUUAUCAUUCAGACUCGGAACAAUGGAGAUGAUCGGCAGAUUUGAAUCCCUUUUUAUGAAGGGGAGAAAAAGCUUACAAUGUGUUUGAUUUGUAUGUAUAUAGAAAAAUAAUUAGAGUUGGAUGGUUGAUUAUUUUAAUCACGUCGUUCUUUUUAGUU